RNAcentral lists this ribosomal RNA (1487 nucleotides) under metagenome. Its description in RNAcentral is "bacterial SSU rRNA". It matches the Rfam family "Bacterial small subunit ribosomal RNA". The record is from RNAcentral.
GAGUUUGAUCAUGGCUCAGAUUGAACGCUGGCGGCAGGCCUAACACAUGCAAGUCGAACGGUAACAGGAAACAGCUUGCUGUUUCGCUGACGAGUGGCGGACGGGUGAGUAAUGUCUGGGAAACUGCCUGAUGGAGGGGGAUAACUACUGGAAACGGUAGCUAAUACCGCAUAACGUCGCAAGACCAAAGAGGGGGACCCUCGGGCCUCUUGCCAUCGGAUGUGCCCAGAUGGGAUUAGCUUGUUGGUGGGGUAACGGCUCACCAAGGCGACGAUCCCUAGCUGGUCUGAGAGGAUGACCAGCCACACUGGAACUGAGACACGGUCCAGACUCCUACGGGAGGCAGCAGUGGGGAAUAUUGCACAAUGGGCGCAAGCCUGAUGCAGCCAUGCCGCGUGUAUGAAGAAGGCCUUCGGGUUGUAAAGUACUUUCAGCGGGGAGGAAGGGAGUAAAGUUAAUACCUUUGCUCAUUGACGUUACCCGCAGAAGAAGCACCGGCUAACUCCGUGCCAGCGCCGCGGUAAUACGGAGGGUGCAAGCGUUAAUCGGAAUUACUGGGCGUAAAGCGCACGCAGGCGGUUUGUUAAGUCAGAUGUGAAAUCCCCGGGCUCAACCCGGGAACUGCAUCUGAUACUGGCAAGCUUGAGUCUCGUAGAGGGGGGUAGAAUUCCAGGUGUAGCGGUGAAAUGCGUAGAGAUCUGGAGGAAUACCGGUGGCGAAGGCGGCCCCCUGGACGAAGACUGACGCUCAGGUGCGAAAGCGUGGGGAGCAAACAGGAUUAGAUACCCUGGUAGUCCACGCCGUAAACGAUGUCGACUUGGAGGUUGUGCCCUUGAGGCGUGGCUUCCGGAGCUAACGCGUUAAGUCGACCGCCUGGGGAGUACGGCCGCAAGGUUAAAACUCAAAUGAAUUGACGGGGGCCCGCACAAGCGGUGGAGCAUGUGGUUUAAUUCGAUGCAACGCGAAGAACCUUACCUGGUCUUGACAUCCACGGAAGUUUUCAGAGAUGAGAAUGUGCCUUCGGGAACCGUGAGACAGGUGCUGCAUGGCUGUCGUCAGCUCGUGUUGUGAAAUGUUGGGUUAAGUCCCGCAACGAGCGCAACCCUUAUCCUUUGUUGCCAGCGGUCCGGCCGGGAACUCAAAGGAGACUGCCAGUGAUGAACUGGAGGAAGGUGGGGAUGACGUCAAGUCAUCAUGGCCCUUACGACCAGGGCUACACACGUGCUACAAUGGCGCAUACAAAGAGAAGCGACCUCGCGAGAGCAAGCGGACCUCAUAAAGUGCGUCGUAGUCCGGAUUGGAGUCUGCAACUCGACUCCAUGAAGUCGGAAUCGCUAGUAAUCGUGGAUCAGAAUGCCACGGUGAAUACGUUCCCGGGCCUUGUACACACCGCCCGUCACACCAUGGGAGUGGGUUGCAAAAGAAGUAGGUAGCUUAACCUUCGGGAGGGCGCUUACCACUUUGUGAUUCAUGACUGGGGUGAAGUC